AGAAUCAACGCUGGCGGCGUGCCUAACACAUGCAAGUCGAACGAGAAAGGGUAGCAAUACCUGAGUAAAGUGGCGCACGGGUGAGUAACACGUGACUAACCUACCCUGGAGUGGGGGAUAACUGAGGGAAACCUUAGCUAAUACCGCAUAACACCUACGGGUCAAAGGAGCAAUUCGCUUCAGGAGGGGUCGCGGCCGAUUAGUUAGUUGGCGGGGUAAUGGCCCACCAAGACAGUGAUCGGUA
This 244-nucleotide ribosomal RNA is filed under the name uncultured bacterium. RNAcentral's name for it is "partial small subunit ribosomal RNA". It matches the Rfam family "Bacterial small subunit ribosomal RNA", at positions 26 to 285 of the family's 1533-position model. The record is from RNAcentral.